Molecule: unclassified non-coding RNA, 164 nt
Filed under: uncultured Kockovaella
Lineage: Eukaryota; Fungi; Basidiomycota; Tremellomycetes; Tremellales; Cuniculitremaceae
Description: sequence contains ITS2
Source: RNAcentral
AACAUCAAUCCCUCGGGUUUCUUACCUGUGUGGACUUGGACCUGGGCGUCUGCCUCACAAGGCUCGCCUCAAAUGACUUAGUGGGAACUUCUCGACCUACGCCUGACGUGAUAAGUUUCGUCUCGGCCGGUCUUGAGGCCCGCUCACAACCCCCAAUCCUUUGA